This 599-nucleotide ribosomal RNA is filed under the name bacterium fme09x28p307. RNAcentral's name for it is "bacterial SSU rRNA". It matches the Rfam family "Bacterial small subunit ribosomal RNA", at positions 48 to 655 of the family's 1533-position model. The record is from RNAcentral.
GCUACACAUGCAGUCGAGCGGAACGAUGGUAGCUUGCUACCAGGCGUCGAGCGGCGGACGGGUGAGUAAUACUUAGGAAUCUACCUAGUAGUGGGGGAUAGCACGGGGAAACUCGUAUUAAUACCGCAUACGACCUACGGGAGAAAGGGGGCAGUUUACUGCUCUCGCUAUUAGAUGAGCCUAAGUCGGAUUAGCUAGAUGGUGGGGUAAAGGCCUACCAUGGCGACGAUCUGUAGCUGGUCUGAGAGGAUGAUCAGCCACACCGGGACUGAGACACGGCCCGGACUCCUACGGGAGGCAGCAGUGGGGAAUAUUGGACAAUGGGGGAAACCCUGAUCCAGCCAUGCCGCGUGUGUGAAGAAGGCCUUUUGGUUGUAAAGCACUUUAAGCAGUGAAGAAGACUCUUCGGUUAAUACCCGGAGACGAUGACAUUAGCUGCAGAAUAGCACCGGCUAACUCUGUGCCAGCAGCCGCGGUAAUACAGAGGGUGCAAGCGUUAAUCGGAUUACUGGCGUAAGCGAGCGUAGUGGCUUGAUAAGUCAGAUGUGAAUCCCGGGCUACUGGAACUGCAUCUGAAACUGUAGCUAGAGUAGGUGAGA